Molecule: ribosomal RNA, 484 nt
Filed under: uncultured bacterium
Lineage: Bacteria
Description: partial 16S ribosomal RNA
Rfam family: Bacterial small subunit ribosomal RNA
Source: RNAcentral
AUUGAACGCUGGCGGCAGGCCUAACACAUGCAAGUCGAGCGGAUGAAGGGAGCUUGCUCCUGGAUUCAGCGGCGGACGGGUGAGUAAUGCCUAGGAAUCUGCCUGGUAGUGGGGGAUAACGUCCGGAAACGGGCGCUAAUACCGCAUACGUCCUGAGGGAGAAAGUGGGGAAUCUUCGAACCUCAGGCUAUCAGAUGAGCCUAGGUCGGAUUAGCUAGUUGGUGGGGUAAAGGCCUACCAAGGCGACGAUCCGUAACUGGUCUGAGAGGAUGAUCAGUCACACUGGAACUGAGACACGGUCCAGACUCCUACGGGAGGCAGCAGUGGGGAAUAUUGGACAAUGGGCGAAAGCCUGAUCCAGCCAUGCCGCGUGUGUGAAGAAGGUCUUCGGAUUGUAAAGCACUUUAAGUUGGGAGGAAGGGCAGUAAGUUAAUACCUUGCUGUUUUGACGUUACCAACAGAAUAAGCACCGGCUAACUUCGUG